GAGUCAACCUAGUGACAUGCACCGGAUGCCGUACUCCAUGCCCUGUACCCUACAGUUAUGAGUCAACCUAGUGACAUACAUUGGACACCGUACUCCAUGCCCUGUACCCUACAGUUAUGAGUCAACCUAGUGACAUACAUUGGACACCGUACUCCAUGCCCUGUACCCUACAGUUAUGAGUCAACCUAGUGACAUACACUGGACACCGUACCCCAUGCCCUGUACCCUACAGCUGUGAGUCAACCUAGUAACAUGCACCAGACACCUUACCCCAUACCUUGUACCCUACAGUUAUGAGUCAACCUAGUGACAUACACUGGACACUGUACCCCAUGCCAUGUACCCUCCAGUUAUGAAUCAACCUAGUGACAUCCACUGGACUCCAUACCCCAUGCCCUGAACCCUACAGGUAUGAGUCAGCCUAAUGAUGCCACACCAGAUGCUGUUACUGGCAUCCUAUAGGUUAAUAAUGUACAGCCAAUCACUCGGCACUGUUGUUUCUGUAAACCGACA
This 513-nucleotide long non-coding RNA is filed under the name Homo sapiens (human). Its description in RNAcentral is "HSALNT0157217". Lineage: Eukaryota; Metazoa; Chordata; Mammalia; Primates; Hominidae. The record is from RNAcentral.